AGUUAAUAAGCUUAAGAUAAGCAUUUAUUUUGAAAAUAAAACAAGAUGGUUAAAUCCCAUCAUUAACUU
Molecule: transfer RNA, 69 nt
Filed under: Planusocoris schaeferi
Lineage: Eukaryota; Metazoa; Arthropoda; Insecta; Hemiptera; Alydidae
Description: tRNA-Ser
Rfam family: tRNA
About the family: Transfer RNA (tRNA) molecules are approximately 80 nucleotides in length.
Source: RNAcentral